UACUCACACAGAAGGCUUUACCAAUGG
This 27-nucleotide non-coding RNA is filed under the name Mus musculus (house mouse). Lineage: Eukaryota; Metazoa; Chordata; Mammalia; Rodentia; Muridae. The record is from RNAcentral.